ACAAAGAAGUACCAGAUCUCUCAUAAUGAACUACCUAUAUGCAGAAAUAUUUUGUAGUUGAAGCAGAGCCAUCUCGUGCAAUCUCCAAAAGUUUAACAUUAGAAUUGAAGUAUAGCCUCCUCAUGCAAUCACCAAAAGUAAACUGCAGGUACAGAGUCUUAAGCAUUAAUCAGGCAUAAUUUUGUACAGAAAACAUGGAGACUUAGCUACUCAUUUACAUGAAUGAACUUACAAAUUGUAUAUGCACCAAAAGUAAACUGCAGGUACAAAGUCUUAAGCAUUAAUCAGGCAUAAUUUUGUACAGAAAACAUGGAGACUUAGCUACUCAUUUACAUGAAUGAACUUACAAAUUGUAUAUGCACCAAAAGUAAACUGCAGGUACAAAGUCUUAAGCAUUAAUCAGGCAUAAUUUUGUACAGAAAACAUGGAGACUUAGCUACUCAUUUACAUGAAUGAACUUACAAAUUGUAUAUGCACCAAAAGUAAACUGCAGGUACAAAGUCUUAAGCAUUAAUCAGGCAUAAUUUUGUACAGAAAACAUGGAGACUUAGCUACUCAUUUACAUGAAUGAACUUACAAAUUGUAUAUGCACCAAAAGUAAACUGCAGGUACAAAGUCUUAAGCAUUAAUCAGGCAUAAUUUUGUACAGAAAACAUGGAGACUUAGCUACUCAUUUACAUGAAUGAACUUACAAAUUGUAUAUGCACCAAAAGUAAACUGCAGGUACAAAGUCUUAAGCAUUAAUCAGGCAUAAUUUUGUACAGAAAACAUGGAGACUUAGCUACUCAUUUACAUGAAUGAACUUACAAAUUGUAUAUGCACCAAAAGUAAACUGCAGGUACAGAGUCUUAAGCAUUAAUCAGGCAUAAUUUUGUACAGAAAAUACUAAUUAUGGAGACUUAGCUACUCAUUUACAUGAAUGAACUUACAAAUUGUAUAUGCACCAAAAGUAAACUGCAGGUACAAAGUAUAUAUUAGCUUCCUAUGUCAUUGGCCUAUACAUGGAAGGCGUGUCAAUUAGCCCUUACAGGUUUUUCCUGUUAACAGGUCACAUUACUUAGUGGACCAGCUCUAAAUGAUAAUUUAAGAUGAAUGCGACAAUCACAAUACCUGUAUUCAUAGAAAAAUAGUGCAUAUAAAAGAUCAGAUAUGAGAA
RNAcentral lists this long non-coding RNA (1156 nucleotides) under Lotus japonicus. Its description in RNAcentral is "long non-coding RNA (LJAP_LNC000980)". Lineage: Eukaryota; Viridiplantae; Streptophyta; Magnoliopsida; Fabales; Fabaceae. The record is from RNAcentral.